Molecule: long non-coding RNA, 1018 nt
Organism: Populus trichocarpa (black cottonwood)
Lineage: Eukaryota; Viridiplantae; Streptophyta; Magnoliopsida; Malpighiales; Salicaceae
Exons: 2
Source: RefSeq, a predicted model, not a curated record
AAUAAACCUCAUCCACACCUCAAGCCAACGCCAAACUCCAGCUGAUAACCCAUAGAUGCCCUGCCCCCUUCUUCCUCCUUUCAAACCGACAGACAGCCCACAAACCAUACGAUCUCUUCCCAAAAUCCAGACACCAGAUAUCCCCGCACCAUUACUAGCAGCAGAACCGUGAAGACCCAGUAGCGCCACUAUCCUCGGCACUAUAAAACCUACGCUACAGACGGUGUUUGAAAAUACGAUUGACUGUAUUUCUCAAAAUUUUAAAUUUUUUUUUAAAAUUAUUUUGCAGCCCCCAAAAUGGGAGAAGAAGGUGUUCUGUCUCUCUUUGUUUUUUUCUUUAUUAGCUUUCUAGAGAGAGGUAAGAGCUUCUCUCUCUAGAAAGCUGUUCUGUCAUCUCUCACUGUCUCAAGAAGUUUAGCACGGACUUCAACAAGCAAAAGAGCGGGAAAACCUCAAUUUAGCUCUCCAAAUAUGAACUUCACUAUCAAUCCUCAAGCCUUUUGGUUUUAUCAAUUUUCUCCUACACAUUACAAAAUUACAACUACAUUACGAGAGAAAAAAACCUAAUUCAGGAGGCGUUUAGCACUGCGGAUACAGACUCAUCUACACUGUGGAUUUAUAAGGGUUGACGAUUUAAUCCUAAAAAGAAUGGAGGGAGACAGAAAAGAUUGUGUGUUUGUUUAUUGCUUAGAUAUCAUCACAGCAUGUCAAAGGUCCGGUCGGUCUCUAGAAUGAUCAUAGUUGUUUGCCAGGGUUUUCUGUACGUGUUGGAAGGAGGCUGUCCUCAACAGAUCUGGAGUUUUCUUCUCUGCUGGAACUGUCCCAGGAAACGUUUGGUAAUCAAUGAACUCGAGACUUUUCUUUGAGUUUCAUGGUUCAUAUUUUUGUUAGAUAAGAUAUGCAAAUUCAUCCAUGCCUGUAAACAAAACUGAUUGAAUUAGCAAUUUUUCCUUUGAUAAAUUGCAACAUUUGUGCAACCUUUUUUUAAAUUUGAUGAAAGAAGAAUUUUGAUGUUUCA